This is a long non-coding RNA of Bombus pascuorum, 845 nucleotides long. RefSeq lists it as uncharacterized. NCBI's taxonomy places the organism in Eukaryota, Metazoa, Arthropoda, Insecta, Hymenoptera, Apidae. The transcript is spliced from 2 exons. The record is from RefSeq and is a predicted model, not a curated record.
UGUCUUUCGUAUUUCGCGUGUUUCAACCCCUUGUCUUUCCAUUAUUUUUCUCUAACGUCCGCCUUCGCUUUAAAACUACUACUUCAACUAGCUGUUUUUCUUCCGUUUCCUUUCUACUUUCAUAUUUCAUCCCAUUCAUCUUCCCCCUUCUUCCGUUUCUUUCUUCUCUAAUUCUACCCGUUCCACCGAGCUUCUUUCGCAAAUUUGUCAUCCUCCUGAUCGUGGUCCAGCUCGGGACGUUUCUACCCUCGAUCCGACCUCCAAUUUUUCACUCUAUCGCCUCUUUCUCCAUCUUCCUCCAACCUUUCCCUUAUCUUCGGCCAACGUACGGCCGACGCGAUCCUUUUAUCCUCGUCCACAGGCUGUCCCUUUCUCGUCCCUAUCAGUCAGAGCCUCCCUUUCUCUGCUUCCCUUCUCUGUCCCUGUUUCUCGUCUCUGUCGAUUCAUCGCGAUUUCGUCCGGCGUUCUCGUCUCGUUCCAGGCCGGAUCGAUAGAGCGGAGUCUGCGUCUCCAAUCCGCGCGUAUAUACCCGUGUACUUUAUUAUCAUGCGGUGCACCCGGUAUAUUCCCCGGAUACACGGUACCCCGAUGCGAACCGCGCCCGUUUUUCAGCCGGGAACGACAACCCCUCUGACAGAACAUGUCGGCCAACCUGCCGGAAACCACCGCGUCACCGGAAGGAUACCACCGCGCACUGGGGUUAUUUGCCUGCAACGAAAAUCGAGGAAGGGGACAAUCUCCGCUAGAAGAUGCAACAACAGUUAAAUAGCACAGUGAAUACCGGUAUUAAGUGUACAAAACACUAGAUAAAUACAGGUAUUUCCUUUGCUAAUUCCGGCCAAAGU